RNAcentral lists this ribosomal RNA (527 nucleotides) under uncultured bacterium. Its description in RNAcentral is "bacterial SSU rRNA". It matches the Rfam family "Bacterial small subunit ribosomal RNA", at positions 984 to 1509 of the family's 1533-position model. The record is from RNAcentral.
ACAUCCAGAGAAUUUAGCAGAGAUGCUUUAGUGCCUUCGGGAACUCUGAGACAGGUGCUGCAUGGCUGUCGUCAGCUCGUGUUGUGGAAUGUUGGGUUAAGUCCCGNAACGAGCGCAACCCUUUAUCCUUUGUUGCCAGCACGUAAUGGUGGGAACUCAAAGGAGACUGCCGGUGAUAAACCGGAGGAAGGUGGGGAUGACGUCAAGUCAUCAUGGCCCUUACGAGUAGGGCUACACACGUGCUACAAUGGCGCAUACAAAGAGAAGCGACCUCGCGAGAGCAAGCGGACCUCAUAAAGUGCGUCGUAGUCCGGAUUGGAGUCUGCAACUCGACUCCAUGAAGUCGGAAUCGCUAGUAAUCGUAAAUCAGAAUGUUACGGUGAAUACGUUCCCGGGCCUUGUACACACCGCCCGUCACACCAUGGGAGUGGGUUGCAAAAGAAGUAGAUAGCUUAACCUUCGGGAGGGCGUUUACCACUUUGUGAUUCAUGACUGGGGUGAAGUCGUAACAAGGUAGGCGUAGUGCU